Molecule: ribosomal RNA, 435 nt
Filed under: Acanthamoeba sp.
Lineage: Eukaryota; Discosea; Longamoebia; Acanthamoebidae
Description: partial 18S ribosomal RNA
Rfam family: Eukaryotic small subunit ribosomal RNA
Source: RNAcentral
UKGCCCAGAUCGUUUACCGUGAAAAAAUUAGAGUGUUCAAAGCAGGCAGAUCCAAUUUUYUGCCMCCGAAUACAUUAGCAUGGGAUAAUGGAAUAGGACCCUGUCCUCCUAUUUUCAGUUGGUUUUGGCAGCGCGAGGACUAGGGUAAUGAUUAAUAGGGAUAGUUGGGGGCAUUAAUAUUUAAUUGUCAGAGGUGAAAUUYUUGGAUUUAUGAAAGAUUAACUUYUGCGAAAGCAUCUGCCAAGGAUGUUUUCAUUAAUCAAGAACGAAAGUUAGGGGAUYGAAGACGAUCAGAUACCGUCGUAGUYUUAACCAUAAACGAUGCCGACCAGCGAUUAGGAGACGUUGAAUACAAAACACCACCAUCGGUUGCGGUCAUCCUUGGCGUCUCGGUUUCGGCCGGGGCGCGGGGAUGGCUASCCCCCGUAACCKCYG